Dermochelys coriacea (leatherback sea turtle) is the source of this 2962-nucleotide long non-coding RNA. RefSeq lists it as uncharacterized. The transcript has 3 exons. NCBI's taxonomy places the organism in Eukaryota, Metazoa, Chordata, Testudines, Dermochelyidae. The record is from RefSeq and is a predicted model, not a curated record.
CCCUCCCUCCUUCCCAAAACCCUUGGCAGAGGGUGGCCUCCUCUGACAGAAGAGGAGAGUGACUGCUGCCCAUUCUUCGUGUAUGCAAACAGCAUCCCUUUUGCCUAUGGAGGGACUCCAGGUGUGUGUCUCUGAGUCAAAGUUCCUCGAGGGCGGGACUGUGUUUUUUCGAUUAUAUAGCAGCAAGGACACUGAUAAAACUCAGUGAACAAGUGUGGCAAAGGUGGUGAGGACAAAUGUUAUGAAUUGUUGAUGUACAAAUAUUUCUCUCUGAAAAGGCCUUAUCCAAAAGGCCCUAUAAGGUCUUUCAAUACAGUACAGUAACCACUUCUUGGUUGUUAAGAUGAUUGUUGGUUCAACAUGUAGUUGGGUUGAGAUUCACACAGAAGCCAGCGCCAGGCCCAGUGGCUGUAAGUGAGCUGGUCAGUUGCUAUUAUUAUUUAUAUUGCCUUAGCACCAAGGAGCUGGACUCCAUUGCAGGGGGGCUGUACAAACACAGAACAUAGGGUAAGUCUGGACUACAGCUGGGAGUGAGCGUCCUAGCAUGGGCAGACAGACUGUGGUAUCAGGGCUUGGGCUAGAAAUAGCAGGGUGGACUUUAUGUCUCUGGUGGAGAUUCAGGCUAGCUCAGACCCAGGGGAUGGACAAGCUGUAGAGCCCAAGCUGCUGCCCGGGCCACACUGCUAAUUUUAGUGCACUUGCUCAAGCCCUGCUAGCAUGAGUCUGUCUACCCACUGUGAGAGACUGGGUCAGUGCAGAGACCCAGCUGCAGUGUAGACAUGCCCAGUGAGGUCUAGGAAGUUUCUCAGAUGAGAUAUGCAGGAUCCAGACAGCGUGCCUAGGGCAGAACAGAGAGAGAGCUUAUUUUCUGACUAAAGAACUGGACAGAGAAAUAUCUUAGCUGGGAUGUCUGCAAGUGGAAUUGCCUGUGUGCAGCUUGAAGGUUGUCACCUCUGCUCAAGGGAAACAGGACUUGGUACAUUUUGAAAACAAAAAUGGAUUUGAAGAAAGUUGCCAAAAGCUGCAUCAAUUGCUUCCCCCCCGCCCCCCCAGGAAUCAGACCCACUGCAAAACCUUAAGAAUCUGUUCCUGCUUGGCAAAGGUGCAACAAUAAUAAUGAGAAGAAGAUUACAAUAUUUGGGUCAGAGAGGGUAGGAAAACAUGCCAGCAUCUGAGAGAACAGUCAUCUUCAUUAAGAAUUUCCUUGGCCAAGGCAGUUCACUGGUUUUUAUUGGAGUUUUCUGUGUUGCUUAUUUAAAACUAAAUUAAAGAAGUGAAAAUGUGAGAAAGAGGUGACAGAUUUUCACUCUUCAUCUAAUGCAAUCUUUUGACAGGAACCCAAACACAUUUGAGUUUAUUUUUAAAUAUCCUCUGUGGGCUACAAUUAGAGACUGCAUGUCAGAAUGAAUCCUGUAAUAGUAAAAUUUCAUUAAAUGCAGCAGCAUUUCUGUUAUUUCACCUUUUCUCUGACUUCUGCCUCAGUCUGUUCUCCAGGAUGGAAUGACUUUUGCUUGAAGUAUUGAAAGGAAGAACAGAACGUACAGAGAGACGUGCAGGUAGCAUUAGCAUCACUAUAAAAUUAUGUAAAAUAAAGACACAAACAACUAGCUCACAGAGAUUCAGUGAGCUUUAUUUGUCCAUAAACAUAAUGGGAAUUGGAAAUUUCACAGUCGGAAACAGACAAGGUCCAAAUAUAUGAACACUACUGAAUCACUGGUUACUCUGGGAAGCAAGAUGAAAAAUGUCAGAGGUCUGCAUUUUUCUCUAGCCCAUAGAGAUGGAGAUUCAAGGGGGCUUUCAGAUAGAAGGGCUCUUCCUACAAGGAUGCAGAAUGGUCUCACUGAAAACAUGAGAUGUUUCUUUUAUGAAGUUAGCAUUGUGUGCUCUUGUUCAUGAGAUUAUUUCUUGUCUUUUUACUACAGCAGUCCCAGCUCAUUAGGAACUUCACAAAUAUUUGUAUUGAUUAAUGAAUACUAUUGUUAUCGUUUACUCUAAGCCAUCUUGAAGUCCAGAACAUAUAAGCCGCUUCCUGGACAUUAGCAAAACAAUAGACGAGCACAGGGUCUGUAUGAACUAGAGGACAAAAUUAAAAGCAAAUUGUCAUAGGUCAAAUAGACCCCCAUGCUACUCUAGCCACUAAGGGGUUAACAGGCAGACUAGCUGUCUCCUCAGCUGAGACUAAUUGCUGUGGUGAUCAAAAGGCUGCAGACUAGAGGACAGCUGGGCUGUCAGAAGCUGAGGAGCUAUGGAGGAGAGACUUUUUCAGUCACAGACUGCCAAUGUGUGAAGAUCCAUCUGUGUAUACGUUGGAGAAUGCUCCUGUCGUGCCUUCUCUCUGCGAUCUUCAGGGUCAUGCUGUGAUGUGUCCAAAGAGCCCACAGAGCAGCUCUUGAGGCAUUUGUGAGGACAGUCAUGUGGAGCAGCAGACUCUCCUAAGGCUGAAUUUAGGCAAAGCAAAAGCUAUUUUGUACUUCUGAAUCUGGGACAACCAGAAUACACGCAAUCGUAUCCAGACCUGAGCAAGAACACAGAAUCCAUUCCUGAUGCAUCCGCUUACCUUGAACAUACAGAUAUUGAGACAGUCUUUAGAGAGCUAACAGAGGAUAUUAAAGAAGUCAUUUUCAAAUGACAGUUUGUCCAUCUUCUCUCCCUACUACAUUAACCUACUUUUUAGCUAUUAACAUGCACAUUUGUAUAAAAGUCAUCUGCAUGUUUGCAUGAUAAAGUAUAUAAAUAUUGGAGCUGGUGGCAUACUGCCAUUUGAGGAGUCCAGCUGGUGUCCUAAGCUCCCUGGGUGAGUAAUGGCUAGGAGUGUUUUAUUCAUCCCCUUCUGGAUCUGGGUAACCCCUCUCCCCCAUGGUUAAUUCUCAGAAUGAUGUUAAUGGGCUCCAGAGAAGGAAAAAAAUAUAAAAUUCUUGCAUUUUUCCUAAUGGAGCAUCCAAAAACAUUCACAAAAUGUCUG